Molecule: ribosomal RNA, 468 nt
Filed under: uncultured bacterium
Lineage: Bacteria
Description: partial 16S ribosomal RNA
Rfam family: Bacterial small subunit ribosomal RNA
Source: RNAcentral
GACGAACGCUGGCGGCGUGCUUAACACAUGCAAGUCGAACGGAAAGGCCCUGCUUUUGUGCGUUGCUCGAGUGGCGAACGGGUGAGUAACACGUGAGUAACCUGCCCUUGUCUUUGGGAGAACUUCAGGAAACUCGGGCUAAUACCCGAUAGGAUCUCCUGCUCCAUGUUGGGGGUUGGAAAGUUUCGGCCGUUGUGGAUGGACUCGCGGCUUAUCGGCUGGUUGGUGGGGUAGUGGCUUACCAAGGGUUUGACGGGUAGCCGGCCUGAGAGGGUGACCGGCCUCAAUGGGACUGAGGGACGGAGCAGACGGCUACGGGAGGCAGCAGUGGGAAAUAUUGCACAAUGGGCGGAAGCCUGAUGCAGAAACGCCGCGUGCGGAAUGACGGCCUUCGGGGUGUAAACCGCUGUCGCCUGUGACGAAGCGUGAGUGACGGUAAUGGGUAAAGAAGCACCGGCUAACUACGUG